RNAcentral lists this microRNA precursor (188 nucleotides) under Oryza nivara. RNAcentral's name for it is "MIR812 microRNA precursor family". It matches the Rfam family "MIR812 microRNA precursor family". The record is from Rfam by way of RNAcentral. Lineage: Eukaryota; Viridiplantae; Streptophyta; Magnoliopsida; Poales; Poaceae.
AAUAAAUACAGCGAUAUCCGUGCCCAACGUUUGACUGUCCGUCUUAUUUAAAAUAUUUGUGAAAAAUUUAAAAAAUAUUUAGUUACGCAUAAAGUACUAUUUAUGUUUUAUCAUCUAAUGGCAAUAAAAAUACUAAUCAUAAAUUUUUUUUAACUAAGAUGAACGGUCAAACAUUGAAUGUGAACAGU